Molecule: ribosomal RNA, 497 nt
Filed under: uncultured bacterium
Lineage: Bacteria
Description: partial 16S ribosomal RNA
Rfam family: Bacterial small subunit ribosomal RNA
Source: RNAcentral
GACGAACGCUGGCGGCGUGCCUAAUACAUGCAAGUUGAGCGCUGAAGGUUGGUACUUGUACCAACUGGAUGAGCAGCGAACGGGUGAGUAACGCGUGGGGAAUCUGCCUUUGAGCGGGGGACAACAUUUGGAAACGAAUGCUAAUACCGCAUAAAAACUUUAAACACAAGUUUUAAGUUUGAAAGAUGCAAUUGCAUCACUCAAAGAUGAUCCCGCGUUGUAUUAGCUAGUUGGUGAGGUAAAGGCUCACCAAGGCGAUGAUACAUAGCCGACCUGAGAGGGUGGUCGGCCAAAUUGGGACUGGGACACGGCCCAAACUCCUACGGGAGGCAGCAGUAGGGAAACUUCGGCAAUGGACGAAAGGCUGACCGAGCAACGCCGCGGGAGGGAAGGAGGGUUUCGGAUCGGAAAACUCUGUUGGUAGGGAAGAACGUUGGUGGGAGUGGAAAGCGCAUCAAGUGACGGUAACUACUCAGAAAGGGACGGCUAACUACGUG